This 301-nucleotide ribosomal RNA is filed under the name uncultured bacterium. Its description in RNAcentral is "partial 16S ribosomal RNA". It matches the Rfam family "Bacterial small subunit ribosomal RNA", at positions 509 to 807 of the family's 1533-position model. The record is from RNAcentral.
CAGCCGCCGCGGUAAUACGAAGGGGGCUAGCGUUGCUCGGAAUGACUGGGCGUAAAGGGCGCGUAGGCGGAUUGCGCAGUCAGAUGUGAAAUUCCUGGGCUUAACCUGGGGGCUGCAUUUGAGACGCGUAGUCUAGAGUGUGAAAGAGGGUCGUGGAAUUCCCAGUGUAGAGGUGAAAUUCGUAGAUAUUGGGAAGAACACCGGUGGCGAAGGCGGCGACCUGGUUCAUAACUGACGCUGAGGCGCGAAAGCGUGGGGAGCAAACAGGAUUAGAUACCCGCGUAGUCCCUGUCUCUUAUAC